GCGUUAUACUGUUAUUGUCUGUUGCUUCCCAAGCAGUAGGCGGCGGGUUCGAGUCCCGUAUCCUGCUCCA
This 70-nucleotide transfer RNA is filed under the name Caudoviricetes sp. RNAcentral describes it as "tRNA-Ser". Lineage: Duplodnaviria; Heunggongvirae; Uroviricota; Caudoviricetes. The record is from RNAcentral.